RNAcentral lists this unclassified non-coding RNA (261 nucleotides) under uncultured Ascomycota. RNAcentral's name for it is "sequence contains ITS2". The record is from RNAcentral. Lineage: Eukaryota; Fungi; Ascomycota.
AACGCACAUUGCGCCCGGGAGUAAUCUCCCGGGCAUGCCUGUCCGAGCGUCAUUUCAGCCCUCGAGCCGCUUUUAGUGGAUCGGUGUUGGGGCACUACGGUAAAACGUAGGCCCCGAAAUGAAGUGGCGGUCCCGCCGCGGUGCCCCCAUGCGUAGUAACGUUUAGUCUCGCAUCGGGUCCCGGCGGAGGCCUGCCGUCAAGCCUAUUUAUUCUCAGAAUAGUUUGACCUCGGAUCAGGUAGGGUUACCCGCUGAACUUAA